The sequence is a regulatory RNA element, 34 nucleotides long. It matches the Rfam family "S16-Flavobacteria ribosomal protein leader". The record is from Rfam.
AUUAUAACCGAGGUCGCGUACCUCAAAAAUUAAU